GAUGAACGCUGGCGGCGUGCCUAAUACAUGCAAGUCGAGCGAACAGACGAGGAGCUUGCUCCUCUGACGUUAGCGGCGGACGGGUGAGUAACACGUGGAUAACCUACCUAUAAGACUGGGAUAACUUCGGGAAACCGGAGCUAAUACCGGAUAAUAUAUUGAACCGCAUGGUUCAAUAGUGAAAGACGGUUUUGCUGUCACUUAUAGAUGGAUCCGCGCCGCAUUAGCUAGUUGGUAAGGUAACGGCUUACCAAGGCAACGAUGCGUAGCCGACCUGAGAGGGUGAUCGGCCACACUGGAACUGAGACACGGUCCAGACUCCUACGGGAGGCAGCAGUAGGGAAUCUUCCGCAAUGGGCGAAAGCCUGACGGAGCAACGCCGCGUGAGUGAUGAAGGUCUUCGGAUCGUAAAACUCUGUUAUUAGGGAAGAACAAAUGUGUAAGUAACUAUGCACGUCUCGACGGUACCUAAUCAGAAAGCGACGGCUAACUACGUG
This 497-nucleotide ribosomal RNA is filed under the name uncultured bacterium. Its description in RNAcentral is "partial 16S ribosomal RNA". It matches the Rfam family "Bacterial small subunit ribosomal RNA", at positions 28 to 507 of the family's 1533-position model. The record is from RNAcentral.